This is a long non-coding RNA of Hydra vulgaris (swiftwater hydra), 1175 nucleotides long. RefSeq lists it as uncharacterized. NCBI's taxonomy places the organism in Eukaryota, Metazoa, Cnidaria, Hydrozoa, Anthoathecata, Hydridae. The record is from RefSeq and is a predicted model, not a curated record.
GUAAUGUCACAAGCAUCUUUUAACUACAAGUAUAUUUUCCAUAUAUUUUGAAGGAGUUGUCUGCUUGUUUUCUUUUUGUUUUUGUAUUUGUUAGUGACAUCAACAUCUGGUAGCAAUGGUAACGUUCUAAAGUAUCUUUUCGAAAUAGCUGUAUAUAACCAAUCAAAUUAUUUUAUGUACUUUGUUUUUCCUAUGAUAAUCUUACAGAUUAUAUCUUUUUUAAUUCAUUAUAAAUGACGUUCUAAAGAUGUUUUUUUUCUUUUUAUCUAUUGCAUUUUCUAGUCUUUAAUGGCAUCUGGUAGCAAUGUCUUUAAUGAUAUUGACAUCUGGUAACCUUGGUAAGGUUGUAUUUUUUCAAAAUGAUUAUAUUAAUUGUUAAAGAGGUUAUAUGUUUAUUAUUAUUUUUAUUUCGUAUUCCUAAGGUACAUCCAAACUUAAAAGCAAUGGUAAAGUUAUAUCUUUUCAAAAUGAUUGUAAAAGACCUUUUCAUAAGGCUAUUAUAUAUUUUAAUUUUUAAGAUGUCGUUUGAUAACUAUGUUUUAUAUUUUGCAUUUUUUAGCGGCAUCACCAUCUAUUAGCAAUGGUAAUGGUAUAUCUUUUCAAAAUGACUGUAAAUGAUCAAUAUCAUAUAAACAUAAUUAUUAUUUCCAAACAUUCUAAUUUUUUUUCAAUAUUAUGUUUAUUAAUGUUGGAUUAGUAAAAUAAAUAUAACAGCAAUUAUAACGCUUCAACCGUUAGUUUAUUUUUUCUCAAUAUAACGCCAAUAUAACGGCACUUCGAAGUGCCGUUAUAUUGGCGUUAUAAUAUAACGGCAGAUCGGCCUUUAUAUUUAGUGUUAUAUUUGCUCAACUCGAGUUGAUGUUAACGCUAGAUCUGGCGUUAUAUACUUUUUGUUAUUUUGGCGUUAGUUUUUUUACAAUGUGUCUUUUAUUACGAUCGGCCUAAUUAUUUUAUUUUAGAUCUAUCAGGAGCAGUUUAAAAUGCGAGAAAGAUUGCGUAAAAAUGUGAAGUAGAAGAUUAUUGAUAGUUAGCACCAUAAUGACGAAUAAAUGACGGUUGAAGAAAUGAUGGACAAGCUUUUACUCAUCUUAAACCUUUAUAUGAAUAUGAAUUGUAUUUUAGUUAACUUUUAUUGAAAUGUAAAAAAUUUAUCAAUAUAUAAUGUAUUGCAAAAA